This 497-nucleotide ribosomal RNA is filed under the name uncultured bacterium. RNAcentral describes it as "partial 16S ribosomal RNA". It matches the Rfam family "Bacterial small subunit ribosomal RNA", at positions 28 to 507 of the family's 1533-position model. The record is from RNAcentral.
GAUGAACGCUGGCGGCGUGCCUAAUACAUGCAAGUCGAGCGAACGGACGAGAAGCUUGCUUCUCUGAUGUUAGCGGCGGACGGGUGAGUAACACGUGGAUAACCUACCUAUAAGACUGGGAUAACUUCGGGAAACCGGAGAUAAUACCGGAUAAUAUUUUGAACCGCAUGGUUCAAAAGUGAAAGACGGUCUUGCUGUCACUUAUAGAUGGAUCCGCGCUGCAUUAGCUAGUUGGUAAGGUAACGGCUUACCAAGGCAACGAUGCAUAGCCGACCUGAGAGGGUGAUCGGCCACACUGGAACUGAGACACGGUCCAGACUCCUACGGGAGGCAGCAGUAGGGAAUCUUCCGCAAAGGGCGAAAGCCUGACGGAGCAACGCCGCGUGAGUGAUGAAGGUCUUCGGAUCGUAAAACUCUGUUAUUAGGGAAGAACAUAUGUGUAAGUAACUGUGCACAUCUUGACGUUACCUAAUCAGAAAGCCACGGCUAACUACGUG